UAUAUGGAUGGAAUCUUUCUCACUGACCAAGACUCUUUUCCCUUUUCUCUAUAUAAUUAGUAAUAGUUACUCUAAAUAAUAAAUAUUAUAAUAAAAAAUGUGAGAGCAUGCAUGUGCAUCUAAAGAUGCUCCCAAACCAACCCCUCUUUUUCUUUCUUUUGUAAUUUUUAUUCUCCCCAUAUCUCAUCUCUCCUAAUACCUUCAUUUUUUUAUAUUUUUCCCAUCUUCUUCCUUCCGUCACUUUCCAUCUCUUCCUCUUUUUUUUUUUUUUUUCCCUUCUUCUUCUUCUUCUUUUCUCUCUCUCUCUCUCUCUCUCUCUCUCUCCUGCUUCUUCCUCUGUCACGCUGCAAUUUUUUCCUUCUUCCUCUUUUGCACGUCUCCCAUAUCUCUCUCUUUUUGUUUUGUUUUUUCCAUCCCUCUCUCUUCCUUCUUCUCCUUCUUCCCGCUCUCCCUCGAAGACGAUUUGUUGUUUGGCCUUAUCCUUUUUGUGGGCUACUAUUUCAUUGUAGGGUUUAAUUUCAGAUCUGAACCGCAUCUCCCUUUAGAUAGAAAGAUUAGAGUUUUUAUAUGUGAAGCCCAACCGACGCCGACAUUGUUCACACAGAUCUGAUUGUCUCUUUGACAGCCACGUUGAAACCAACCAACGACGAUGUCAACGCCGUCAGUCUGAACCUUCAUGUGUUCAAAUGAUAUUGGCCUAGAUCCUGUUGUCUUUGUCUUUGGUUUAGUGUUUGAAGAACAUUUGUUUGUUUCCUACAUUUGUAGCUGGAUUGUGUCUGGAAUUUUUUUCUUUUGGUUACUUGUUCUUAAGUUUCUUGGUUUGAA
Long non-coding RNA from Prunus persica (peach), 825 nucleotides. RefSeq lists it as uncharacterized. NCBI's taxonomy places the organism in Eukaryota, Viridiplantae, Streptophyta, Magnoliopsida, Rosales, Rosaceae. The record is from RefSeq and is a predicted model, not a curated record. The transcript has 2 exons.